This is a long non-coding RNA of Homo sapiens (human), 1225 nucleotides long. RefSeq lists it as uncharacterized. Lineage: Eukaryota; Metazoa; Chordata; Mammalia; Primates; Hominidae. The transcript has 3 exons. The record is from RefSeq and is a predicted model, not a curated record.
GCUUCAUUCUUCUGGAACAGCAGUUCUGUGUGAGUCGAACAUCUUUUGUCUAGGUUUCAGUCAUCAGCAACUUCAUUCAUUAUGCAGACGAUGAAAGAGACAUUCAGAGAGGUUAAAUAAUUUGCUCGUGUAUACACAACCAGUAAAUUGCAGAGCCAGACUAAUGACAAAAGUAGAGGAUCACUGACUGCUGGGUGAAAAUAUGGAAGGUAAAUAUGAGCACCCCCACUUAAUCCUUAGCAGUAUGAUAAGUAAAAUUUAGAGUUGCAGAAUAAAUGCAUUACGUUAACAUCAUAAACUUAUAACUAAUUUUAUUAGUAUCUACCAAUACAUAUUGUAUACAUGAUAUGUAAAAACAUAUGUAUAUAUAUAAUAUAUGAUAUUUUAUCAGUCAUGAUUUCAGGAUAGUAUAUUUAUAUAGUAAACUUACUGUUCCCUCAAUAUGGUAAGAUCUUCAAAUACAGUUAUACAUUAAAUACUUUUUGAGCACUCCACGUGAAUCAGAAAUCACUGUGUUCAGUCAAAAAUGAGUUAAAUAGGUCAACAAAUGGUUGUCCUCUAUAGUCCUCUCAUCUUAAGUGCAAAGAAAAUGGCAUGAAAAGGCACUAAAGCCAAAACAGUGAUUCUCAACCCUAGCUUCCCAUCAGAAUUACCUAGAAAGCUUUAAAUUCUAUGCGUGGGUCCCACCCUCAGAUAUUUUUAAUUAAUUGGUUUGAAAUCUGUCUUGGGCAUUGAGGAGUUUUUAAAAGCUUUCUCAAUUAUUUCAAUUUGCAGCCAAGAUUUCUUCAAUGAAUGGUACUCAAACUUGUCUGCAUGUUUUAAUGACACAGCGAGCCUUUAGGUAAAUAUGUUCGUGACCAGACUACAUCCCACGUAAAAGGGGUCUGGUGGAGGGGGUGAGGUUGAGCAGUCUUAAAGCUCCCCAGCUGUUACUGGAAAGGGGUCCCAAUCCAGACCCUAAGAAAGAGGGUUCUUGGGCCUCACAAAGAAUUCACUGUGAGUCCAUAGAGUAAAGCUGAAAGCAAGUUUCUUAAGAAAGUAAAGGAAUAGAGUGGCUACUCCACAGGCAGGCCUGCAGCAUGGGCUGCUCGACUGAGUAUACUUAUAGUUAUUUCUUGAUUAUGUGCUCAACAGGGGGUGAAUUAUUCAAUGAGUUUUCUGGGAAAGGGGCAGGCAAUUCCCUGAACUGAGGGUUCCUCCCCUUUUUAGACCAUAUAAGGUAACU